AACAGCUGAAAGUGGACUUAAGAACCUGGUAACAUUACGCCAAAGGCCGCUGAAGCCAAGAACAAUUUGAAGAGUUGAAGCAACAAUGAGGGCACCUUGUAUUGCACGCAUGAUCUUCUUGAAUCGCUCAAUAGGGUCAAGAUUAUCACUAAAUCGACCAGCAAGGAUAAUUGAAAUCGUAGUCGGGACAAAGGUAUAAGAGCCUCCAAUAACAGCAGGCAAACGAGUUCCAAACAAACUCUGAAGCAAUGUGUUCAAACCAGCAACAAA
RNAcentral lists this unclassified non-coding RNA (270 nucleotides) under Hevea brasiliensis (rubber tree). Lineage: Eukaryota; Viridiplantae; Streptophyta; Magnoliopsida; Malpighiales; Euphorbiaceae. The record is from RNAcentral.